Long non-coding RNA from Helianthus annuus (common sunflower), 2183 nucleotides. RefSeq lists it as uncharacterized. NCBI's taxonomy places the organism in Eukaryota, Viridiplantae, Streptophyta, Magnoliopsida, Asterales, Asteraceae. The record is from RefSeq and is a predicted model, not a curated record. The transcript is spliced from 2 exons.
CAGCUGUCUUCUCACCAAUUCCCUUUUAACUCACAGAGAGAGAAAACCUAAAAGAGAGAUAGAGAGAACCAGAGGGCAAGAGAGAGACACGCAUGUCCGGUCACGCUUCCGGCAAUGGUCACUAAGAUAUCCGGCGAGUUACCCCUGGCCGCCUUUUACCCUUCCAUUUAUACCCUCGGGAAAGAAGCAUGUGCGAAGUAUCCUUCUCCCCUGUCGUUCAUAGACUCGCACCCCUACAACCCCAUAAUCAUCUUCAUUGUAGAAUCUUACUGGUUUGAGCAAGUUCCAAUCAGCCUUAACACGGAGAUCUGGAGGUUGCAAAUCGGUUUCUGACAAGGUUAAAACCACCUAUUGAUGACGCAUGGGUCGUCUCCGAACAGUCCAGCGACACUAGGUAUAGGUUAUCGACAAUGUUGUAGGGUAAGAACCAGUUACUUUAUCUUUGGUAUGUUAGGGUUUAUUUAAACAGGCAAGCCUCAACAAUUGGGGCUCCAAUUUUUAAUAUUUUCAAUUUUAAUUCUUGCAAUUUUGUUUGGUUGUCAUCGGUAGUGUUCAACUAGAUACCGAAUUGUUAUGAUUCUUGGGUUUUCCACAGGUGCUAAUUACCUAAAUAAAUUUGUUUAUGUUCUCAUUGGCGAAGCCACGCCCCCCCGAAUUUUCGCAAAACCGGGGGGGGGGGGGGGGGGCGGCAACGUAUAUACCUAUACGAAAGUACUAUUUAUAAGACUACGCAUCGAAAAGUUCGGGGGGUCGGGCGCCCCCGGACAUAGCUUAUCCUGCGCCAAUGUAUGUUCUUAUGGUUAGUCAUGGAAGAACUUGGGUUCUAAACUAGCUAAUAGAAAAUUUUCCACAUUUUUAGAGUAGUCCUCUUCAUUGUGGAGCUUCCCAAGCUAAUCAUUUUUUUAUGUUCUCUGUUGGCUUUUUUGUACUAAAAAUAAAAUGCCCAGGUUGUGUGAUUGAAUGCCUUUAGUGUGCAAUUAAGUAGUUUUUUAGCCUUUCACCCCAUUUAUAUUUGUUAAAGGUUGUGUCAUUAAAUGCAUUUAGUAUGUAAUUUCAGCCUUUCACCCCACUUAUAUUUCAUAAAGGCUGAUCAACUUACAUAUUGGUUUAAAAAUUGAUUUCACUUUGGGUUGUAUUUGGAUGCUUAUAAGAUCUUCAAAGCAUAUGAAAUAUAACAAUGCGCUAGCUUACUUUAGAAAAUCCAAUAUUUAUCUAAUGUAAUUGAAUUCGACAUCAGGACACAAAAAGAAGCCUACAACUUUGUUGUAGGUUGAAUUGCAUAUUUUAAUAUCUCUGACUCUUUCCAUUGUCCGAUGAGUAUAUCUUUCGAUUCCCACAUACUCUCGAAUGCUUCUCUGUUAUUGUUAUUCAUUUUUUUUGGGUAAAGGGUUACCCCGGUGAUUUAUAUUGUUAUUGUUAUUCAUUUGAUUUCGACACCAAUGUGCAAUUUUCACAGUUCAACCGAGGAAAACAUAGCAGUAGCAAUGGAGACUGUUUCAGGUUGUUUUAAUGUUCUUUAUUCUUGAAACAUAACUACUUAGUGAAUAUAAGCCAGCUUUCUUUCUUUCUUUCUUUGAUAGUUUCGACGUGCAUUCUUCACAUCCCAAAUUUCAAGCCGCUUAGUUAUUGGUAAGAAGAUCACCACUUGAUUCCAUGUCACCAAGGAAGCGAUUAGCUUAUAGUCUCUUACUACACAUGUAUAUUUAGUUUAUAUGUUUUGAUUUAUGUUUUAGUAAAUGGGUUUAUAUUAAAGUUUUAUCACCUAAAUUUCUGAAAUGUCCAAGUGUGAAUAAGACAACCCAAAGUACCAAGGGUUUUAGCUGUAUGGAAGAGAUAUAAACCCAAAAUAAUGUGCGCUUAUUGUAACUAAGUUUUGUGCAGUUUGAAGGUGGACCAUUAGAUGGUACAAAGUAGAUAGAUGGCAUUUGUUCAGUUCAAGAAGGGUUGUUAUUAUCAAGGGAUGAUGAUCCAAACAAGCUUUAUAAAAGUAUGUAGAAGGUUAAUGGCAUCUGUCUUGUCAAAGUUUUUACAUGGCUAAUGUUUAGUGUUAGUUAACCUUCCCCGCCGCAAAGCGAGUGGGAUUCUUUCUAGAGUUUGUAUACAUUACGCCUGAAUUUGUAAGUCCCCGGCCGCAACGCGGCGGGAGGGUUCCAUCUAGUUACUAUAAAAUGGGUAGUUUGCCA